This 582-nucleotide unclassified non-coding RNA is filed under the name Scolecofusariella peltigerae. Its description in RNAcentral is "Scolecofusarium ciliatum sequence contains 18S rRNA gene, ITS1, 5.8S rRNA gene, ITS2, 28S rRNA gene". The stretch from base 212 to 365 matches the Rfam family "5.8S ribosomal RNA". Lineage: Eukaryota; Fungi; Ascomycota; Sordariomycetes; Hypocreales; Nectriaceae. The record is from RNAcentral.
UCGUAACAAGGUCUCCGUUGGUGAACCAGCGGAGGGAUCAUUACCGAGUUUUCAACUCCCAAACCCCUGUGAACAUACCAAUCGUUGCCUCGGCGGGAGAGCCCCGGGCGUUGGCGAAAGCCUCGCACCGGUAUCAGGCGCCCGCCGGAGGACCCAAACAAACUCUUGAAUUCUAAAGUAUCUUCUGAGUAACAUAAGUUAAAUAAAUUAAAACUUUCAACAACGGAUCUCUUGGUUCUGGCAUCGAUGAAGAACGCAGCGAAAUGCGAUAAGUAAUGUGAAUUGCAGAAUUCAGUGAAUCAUCGAAUCUUUGAACGCACAUUGCGCCCGCCAGUAUUCUGGCGGGCAUGCCUGUUCGAGCGUCAUUUCAACCCUCAAGCCCAGCUUGGUGUUGGGGAUCGGCACAGGCGCCCUCGGGCGCCAGCCGUCCCCUAAAUCUAGUGGCGGUCCCGCUGCAGCCUCCUCUGCGUAGUAGUUUUCUCCUCGCAAGGGCAGCUCGGUGGCGACCUCGCCGUAAAACCCCCAACUUCUGAAAGUUUGACCUCGAAUCAGGUAGGAAUACCCGCUGAACCUAAGCAUAUC